UAGCGGAGCGUGUGGUUUAAUUCGACCAUCCGCGAAGAACCUUACCUGGGUUUGACAUCGAGGUAGUAGCAAGGUGAAAGCUGCCCGACCCUUCGGGGAGCCUUGACAGGUGCUGCAUGGCUGUCGUCAGCUCGUGUCGUGAGAUGUUGGGUUAAGUCCCGCAACGAGCGCAACCCUCGUCGUUAGUUACAAGUGUCUAACGAGACUGCUGGUUUCAAACCGGAGGAAGGUGGGGAUGACGUCAAGUCAGCAUGGUCUUUAUAUCCAGGGCUACACACACGCUACAAUGGCCGGUACAAUUGGUUGCCACACCGCAAGGUGGAGCUAAUCCUCAAAGCCGGUCUCAGUUCAGAUUGUCGUCUGCAACUCGACGGCAUGAAGGCGGAGUUGCUAGUAACCGCAUAA
This 405-nucleotide ribosomal RNA is filed under the name uncultured bacterium. RNAcentral describes it as "bacterial SSU rRNA". It matches the Rfam family "Bacterial small subunit ribosomal RNA", at positions 930 to 1349 of the family's 1533-position model. The record is from RNAcentral.